CCUACGGGAGACAGCAGUGAGGAAUAUUGGUCAAUGGGCUUACGCCUGAACCAGCCAAGUCGCGUGAGGGAAGACUGCCCUCUGGGUUGUAAACCUCUUUUGUCAGGGAGCAACGCCGGCUACGUGUAGCCGGACUGAGAGUACCUGAAGAAAAAGCAUCGGCCAACUCCGUGCCAGCAGCCGCGGUAAUACGGAGGAUGCGAGCGUUAUCCGGAUUGAUUGGGUUAAAAGGGUGCGUAGGCGGAAUGCCAAGUCAGCGGUAAAAUCGCGGGGCUCAACCUCGCUCCGCCGUUGAAACUGGCGUUCUUGAGUGGGCGAGAAGUAUGCGGAAUGCGCGGUGUAGCGGUGAAAUGCAUAGAUAUCACGCAGAACUCCGAUUGCGAAGGCAGCAUACCGGCGCCCAACUGACGCUGAAGCACGAAAGCGUGGGUAUCGAACAGGAUUAGAUACCCCAGUAGUC
This 460-nucleotide ribosomal RNA is filed under the name uncultured bacterium. RNAcentral's name for it is "partial 16S ribosomal RNA". It matches the Rfam family "Bacterial small subunit ribosomal RNA", at positions 338 to 795 of the family's 1533-position model. The record is from RNAcentral.